UCCAUCGGGGGUGUCGGGG
This 19-nucleotide unclassified non-coding RNA is filed under the name Chlamydomonas reinhardtii. RNAcentral's name for it is "small RNA Cre_2562". Lineage: Eukaryota; Viridiplantae; Chlorophyta; Chlorophyceae; Chlamydomonadales; Chlamydomonadaceae. The record is from RNAcentral.